GCAGGACUUCAUGAAGCAGGAGCCCCUGGAUUGUGUGGCUUCUCCCGUUCGCUACAGGGCGAUUCUUGCGGUGGAGCACUUGAGCAAGAUCAAGCCAUCUCUGACCCAGAAGGAAAACUGUCAUCUUCUUCAGGAGUGCUUCCGAAGCCUAUUUCCCCUUCCUCCCCUUGAGCAGACAAAAGAAGGGGAGGCAGCAGAUGAUGCUGAGCAUGCAGAGGCUCUCUAUACACGAUCCCUGGAAGCUCUUGCUCGCCUCAUGACAAGUCUUGAGGAAGAGCUGACCUUGUCAUGGCUCAAGGAAACC
Dromaius novaehollandiae (emu) is the source of this 304-nucleotide long non-coding RNA. RefSeq lists it as uncharacterized. The record is from RefSeq and is a predicted model, not a curated record. The transcript has 3 exons. NCBI's taxonomy places the organism in Eukaryota, Metazoa, Chordata, Aves, Casuariiformes, Dromaiidae.